CCUACGGGUGGCUGCAGUGGGGAAUAUUGGACAAUGGGGGGAACCCUGAUCCAGCCAUGCCGCGUGUGUGAAGAAGGCCCUCGGGUUGUAAAGCACUUUCAGUGAGGAAGAACGCCUGGUGGUUAAUACCCAUCAGGAAAGACAUCACUCACAGAAGAAGCACCGGCUAACUCCGUGCCAGCAGCCGCGGUAAUACGGAGGGUGCGAGCGUUAAUCGGAAUUACUGGGCGUAAAGCGCGCGUAGGUGGCUUGAUAAGCCGGUUGUGAAAGCCCCGGGCUCAACCUGGGAACGGCAUCCGGAACUGUCAAGCUAGAGUGCAGGAGAGGAAGGUAGAAUUCCCGGUGUAGCGGUGAAAUGCGUAGAGAUUGGGAGGAAUACCAGUGGCGAAGGCGGCCUUCUGGACUGACACUGACACUGAGGUGCGAAAGCGUGGGUAGCAAACAGGAUUAGAUACCCGGGUAGUC
Molecule: ribosomal RNA, 465 nt
Filed under: Vreelandella stevensii
Lineage: Bacteria; Pseudomonadati; Pseudomonadota; Gammaproteobacteria; Oceanospirillales; Halomonadaceae
Description: partial 16S ribosomal RNA
Rfam family: Bacterial small subunit ribosomal RNA
Source: RNAcentral